This 3559-nucleotide long non-coding RNA is filed under the name Vitis vinifera (wine grape). RNAcentral describes it as "long non-coding RNA (VVIN_LNC005413)". The record is from RNAcentral. Lineage: Eukaryota; Viridiplantae; Streptophyta; Magnoliopsida; Vitales; Vitaceae.
UUUCAUUUGAUGACAACAAAAUACACUUGACCCAAAAAUUAAUAUAUGUACUUUUUGAUUAAAAUUUUUUUUUUUAAAAAUCCAUGCCAACUCAAAAAGACCUCUCAUUUAGGAGUGCAUCAUCCACUCUAUUACAAAAAGAGCAUAAAUCAACUACCACAAAAUGACUAAUUUUGUGCGGUGGAGGAGGAUGUGAUCAACUGUUUCUUCUCUUCAACAUAAAGGGCAUCUACUCAACAUCCUUCAUCUCGUCCUUUUAAAUUGAUCCAAUAUCAAUAUCCUGCCACAUGCAACUUCCCAUGCAAAAAGGUUAACCCUUAAUUGUGCCCAAGAAUCCCAAACAAUACUAUAAGUGAAGGCUCCCAUUCUCCUACAUGAUAAAGAGAAAUAAAGAGACUUAAUUGAGAAAAUGUCGCCCUUCGUGUUCAAUCAAACAAUAUUAUCCUUCAUAUCCUUAAUAAUAACCUACACUUGCAACCUCUAAAAAAGGCCUCCACCUCUAACUCCGAAUCAUAAAUUUAUCUUGUAAGCCUUGCUACACCUCAGCUACCCAUGCAACUUUGGCAGUGGCAAUUGCAAUAACUCCCAAAAAAACCUCCCUCAAGGGUAUGCCACCGCACAACCUAUCCGUCCAAAUUUCACCCUUCUACCAUUGUCUACUCCAAAAUUGGUUCUACAAUUAAAGGUCUCCAACCCGCACCUGAUUGCCUUCCACACACCCACCCUGUACCCUUCCCUCAAUCCUCUAAGGCACAAACACCCCUCUUCCUUCUCAUAUUUCCCUGAAAUUACCAAUUUCCAAAGGGUUCCCUCUCAAUUACAAAUCAUUUUUUUUAUAAUCGAGGAACCUUUUAUAGUCGAGCCCUUCAAACUCUUCAUGGAGACCCAAACCUCAGGGUGUUGACCAAGCCCACCACAAUCAACACCAAGUAAUCCAGGACAUUAAACCAACAACAUGAAUCAAACCCAAGACUAUGCACCUCUACCACACAUCCUAGCAUUAACCUUAAUCAACUAGGCACACUGAUGGGCCCCUCUCAAUUACAAAUCUCAAACACCAUUUUCCUAAAAGAGCCUUACUAAGAGUGGACAGAUUUUUAAUUCCUAGACCCCCACUCUUAUCCAUACAAACUAUAGAGCAAUUCAUGAAAAUGUGGCUUUGCCUUACACAACAUCUAGCAAUUUGCAAAGACUUUAAAAUCCUUUAUUACAUAAACAAAGACUAAACUUGAAGAGUAGUUUGAAGGUCACUAAGUGUUUGCAUCUAGAGACAAGUUUUAGGAGUCCCAAUGAAGAUCUGUUCUACGCAUAAUCAAUUCAAUUGUAUGAGACAACAAAAAAAUAAAGGGCAAAAAUACUGUUUACGGUUUAGAUUGGUCAUGGACAAUCACUGAAAGUCAAAGUCAAGUUUCCUCCAACUUAAGGGGAAUUGAUGACAAAGAAUCUUCAAGGUACAUUUUUUUUUUUUUUUUUUUGAUAAGUAAACAAGAUAUGCAUUAGAAAAGGCUAAACGCCACAAAGCAUACAGGGAGUAUACAAGACGGCUAAAGCCUCAAAAAGAGAAAAAGGACCAAAAAGAACUACCUCCCCUUAAGUGGAAGCUAUCCACUCCAAAAAACCUAUAAGGGAGAAAAACUCCUCACCUAAAUACACUUUGGCCCAAUUCCACAAGUUACAGACAAAAGAAUUCUUUAAUUUCUGAAUAUUCAACGCACCCCCCCUAAAGGCUAACCUAUUCCUCUCCUUCCAAACCGUCCAAAAAAUACAUAACGGAAUGGAUUUCCAAAUCUUUUUCCUUUUCUUCCCAAAAAAUGAGCCCCUCCAGGAGAUUAAAGUCUCCUUUACAGUUUCUGGGAGGACCCACUUAACAUCUAUCAACCCAAAAAUAAUAUCCCAAAGGGCUCUAGUCACUAUACAGUGUAAAAGAAUAUGAUUUACAUUCUCUUCUUCAUAACCACACAAAAAGCAACAAUUUGGGAGUUGCACCCCUCUUAUCUGGAGUCUAUCCAGAGUGAACACCUUCCCCCACGUAGCCUCCCAAGCAAAAAAGCAGACUUUAGUUGGCACCCUAUCCACCCAUAUUCUCCUUGCGGGAAAUACUGUGGCAUUAGGCUUGUCUAGCAGCCUGUAAGCUUCUUUGACUCUGAAAAGACCAUUUCUUCCCUGCCUCCACAUAACUGAAUCAUCCUCCAAGGAGGGCCUAUGACCCCUCAAAGUAUGAAGCAACUCCCCAACCAUAUCCAACUCCCAAUCAUUGAAGUCCCUCACAAAAACGAGAUUCCACUCUCCUUGGCCCGAAUCCUGGUCCCACAUCUCCUCAAUCGUAGCAUCCCUAUGCAUGGCAAGGACAAAGAGGUGAUUGAAGCAUUGGGACAACGGAGUGUCAGUGCACCAACUAUAUUUCCAAAAUUUGAUUUUUGAACCCUUCCCAACUAUAAAGGCCAAAUUUUCCCAGCACCAAUCAGAUUCUUUCAUAAUCUCCUUCCAGACCCCUACUCCAGCCGCCCCACUAGCCUUCUUUGACCUCCAACCAUAAUCCUCUUGCCCAUAUUUCGUAGUGAUCACUUGUUUCCAAAGGUUAUCCUUUUCACAAGCAAACCUCCAAAUCCACUUGCCCAGCAAGGCUCUAUUCAGAGUGGCUAUUCUCCUUAAUCCUAGCCCUCCCUUGUGUUUUUCUGUACAGACCGCGUCCCAUUUAACUAAAUGAACUUUUCCCUCCAAGUUUCCUCAAGGUACAUUCAACAAGAAGAAACAAAAGAUUUGGCUCAUUUAGAAUUUGGGAAGGUUUUUUUAUUAUAGUACUCUUUAAAAAGUUUCUUUAUCUGUAAAUUUUUUAUUUUCUAAAGCAUCUUUUUCUAAAAUUUCCAUUUGAGCCUUUCAUAAAAUCUAGGAAAUAUCCUCUAUUAGAAACUUUUAUCACAAAAAGUCUAUAUAGAAUUUUAAGUUUCUAAUUCUAAAAGGAAAGUUUUUAUUUCCUUCUAAUUCCUUUAUUUGAAAGAUUUAGAAGUUUUAGGAAGAAGUAAGAGUCCUUAAUAAGCUACUUCUCUUUUCUCUUUCUUUUAUUUGGUUUUUAGAGUUUCAUGAAGACUACAAAUAAGAUUAAUUGUUAUUAAACAAGAUUGAAAAUGAACCCUUAAUCCUGAAAAUGGUGAAGCACCUCACUUUAUUAUAGGCAACCACCCUAGAGUUGUCCCACAUUACUUCUCUAACUAAUCCAUCCAACUCCAAAUCCACCAGUAACAUUCUCCUCAAUCUACACCUCCCACGUGAUCAAUCAAUGAUAAUAAAAUUCUAACUAGUGUCAAUACCCAUCAAAAUAAAAUAAAAUAAAAUUGCUCCUUCAAUGUCACACCCAGUUUCUCAUUAAGUUAAAAUCCAUUCAUUCUAUCUUGAAUUUGCUUAUCCUUCAGCCUAAAAAGCAUUUCUCCAUAGUGUUAACUCGGUUUUUCCCUACAACCAAAUCUCAUCACCCAAACCAUUACGGGAGAACAACGUAACGGAUAACACCAGGGAUCUCUUCCAAAAACUCCCAAGAAGUUCAACCAAAACUUGCAAGGAG